Molecule: non-coding RNA, 4169 nt
Organism: Sus scrofa (pig)
Lineage: Eukaryota; Metazoa; Chordata; Mammalia; Artiodactyla; Suidae
Source: RefSeq, a predicted model, not a curated record
CUCUUUCCUGGCUUUUCUCUGCCCACAGGACAGGCGGCAGGGCCCCAGGGCAGAACUCCCUCCUGUGCUCGGGAAGCAGGCCGGCCAAAUGCGUAGGGAGCAGUUUCCAGCGAGCACGCCUUGGGCUGCAUCACUAAGCUGAGAACGCUGAUCAUUUAUCCACUAGGCUUCCUGCCCUGGGUGUUUAAAGGCCGAUUUGGAGUCUGGGUGUUUUUGGUUAAGAUAUGGUGACGAUCUCCCUCCUCACUGGCGGCAGCUGCUUCUGUCUAAAUGACAGUGUGUGUUCAGGAAACUUGUGUUCUGGAAAGGGCACAGGGGGCUCAGCGCCCCCGUAACGGGGCUGCAGCCUGGGAGACACGUGAGAGGAGAAAAGGAAGAUACAGCCCUAAGACCGUCUGAGAGGUCCAAAACACCAACUGUAUUAGAUGGAACGAAAGAGGCGUUCACGCUGGACCGACAGCGGGAGACACGAAAAAAGACGCGUCUGCAGCCUGGGGUUUGUAUGCGGUCCUCACACAGACACGGCCUGACCAACCUGUGGCCACAACCCAGAAGCACGACAGAGAAGUCUGUCCUUUCCUCACUGGUGCGAAAGGGGGCAUUCCUGGGGCCCGGAGCCCUCAGCUGCCCAAACCUCGGAGGUGACACCUCUUGUGGCCCAGCCCCAGGCUGGAAAGAGACAAAAGCAAGGCAACUGCACCGGCUGACCACACACUAGUAGUGGACACGGAUCAAGUGACUCAGCCCUGAAAAUGAUCACGCACAAGGUAUAUACGGAAACCUGGCUUGGGAGGAGCUACGCUUGAUGGGGCCAGGAUUCAAGCCCAGAGCCCAGCUGGCACUGGCGCUGCAGCGGUGUGGCAGGCAGCAGGCGUGUGGGCCCACUGUGUGUCCGGUGGGUUAAACGGAGACAACAGCAGUCGUCCAGGGGCUGCUGUGAUGGUGAAGGGGGCCCUGGGCCAGCGCGGGCUUCUGCUCCGACCCCGAGCGCCUCGCCAGGCAGGCUUUCUCUCAAGACCAGGACGGCGCUUCCCCCUUCUUCUUCCUUUGUUGCUUCUUUUUCAAUUUUAUUUUUGGUGGCAGUUUUAACAAAACGCUGAUCCUCGGCACCAAGCGGCACAUACAGCAGAUGAAAGCAGGGAUGUGCCGCGGGCUCCGUGGCGCAAUUAGCAUUCUCCUAAACAAACGAGCUUCAACAGAGCUGUAAUUAAGCAGGCCUGUAAUUAAGUAUAUGCCCUUUAUCAUAACGAUCAUGCUUAAAAAUGGCAUGAUGCAUGGAACUCUGUUAUUAAUGCUGUAAUCCCAAACUGAAGUGCGAGUACAUAGAAAUCAGUGUGUCAGGCCUGUCACCAGAGUGUUUGUAAAAUACAUUAAAGAAAAAAGCCGGGAAACAAUGAGCUCAUUCAACUGUUCUUUUUACAAUCAGGCGCUGCAAGUCAGGAGGAUUGCGAAUGCUUACAGAAUCUGCAAGGUUUAAACAAAUAGAGCUCUAAUCUGCUCCUGUGUUAAUACCACCCCCCAGCUUAAAGAAGGAAACCGGGGUGGGGUGACCGGGCUACCUGCCUUUGCUCUCCCUGAGGAAGCAGCCCGAUGUGCACACCAUAUUUGGACAUAAAAUUGGAUUCCUGCUGGCACAGACAGCUCUGCCAUGAAUCCAUAGGAACUCUGCCUGGCAGCAGGUCAGGGUCACGGCCUGCGUCUUCCCUUUGCAUGGGAACCAUGACUUUACUCGCCAAGGCGACCCCUCAGGGCCGUCCCUUGGUCCUCCCCUCCACACACGCGCCCUUGGACUUGGGGUCCAACACGAACCCACUGCUGCCCAAUUCCCAAAGGCACUGAGCCCAGGACCACCCCGUCACCGUGGUCAGGGCUGCUGAUUCCUUCCUCCACGUGGAAAUACUCCAUCGACACAUGUAUUAACUGCAACACGCUUGAUAAAGAGGGCCAUACUGUCACAUGGUAAACAAUGUAAAAUUAAAAAAAAAAAAAAAAAGAAAGAAAAGAAAGGACUAGGAGCUCCCAUUGUGGCUCAGCGGUGAUGAACCCAACUAGUAUCCCUGAGGACAUGGGUUUGAUCCCUGACUAGUAUCCCUGAGGACAUGGGUUAAGGAUCCUGCGUUGCUGAGGCUAUAGUGUAGGCUGGCAGCUGCAGCUCCAUCGACCCCUACAGGGGAACUUCCAUAUGCUUCGGGUGUGGCCCUAAGAAGCAAAAAAAAAAAAAAAAAAAAAAAAAAAAACCCAAAAAACAAAACCAAAACCAAAACCCAGAAAGACUGCAUUACCAGCAUCUCAUUUGUUAUCUGCUUACAGUUGCCGAGUGGUGUUAAGUGAACCUGGUCACAGUUCCUCGCAGGUCCUUGCAGCGCUGAUGGUGAACGACACGGCUUAUUGGCAGCCAGGCGUUUUCAGAAUGAAAUUAAAUGCCGCUGGAAUGGUGGGAGGCCUUUCAUUCCACGUACCUGCUUGGGGCUUGGGUUGUAAAUAACCAGCAACCCGGGCCUUUCUUCUUCCCUUUCCUGCUGUGUUUCAAAAGUCCUUUACAAUUUGUGAUGGGAAGAAUGCCAACAACUCCAGAUCUCAAGGCCAUUUCUCAAAACUCAUUUGCAAACCAAAACACCAAGCCCGGUCUGCCUUCUUGGUGAUUUCACUUGGGGGAUACUCCUUGGAAGAUAGCCGUGGAUGCCCCCAGAGCGUCUGCUAGGUGACAUUCCAACGGAGCCUACCCAAGGCCAACGACUUCCUUCUAAAGCCCCAAAGUAAUUUGUUUUGCCAUGUUAUUCACAUGCCAAAAGCAGCGAUUUGUCACCACAGCGAGAGCUCCCUGAGUCCCACGCACGAGGCGGCUCUGUGGGCGGAAGGAGGGACCCGGGGCCCAACCAGCGAGCGGGAGCACCGUCACACACGGUCCUCCCUAACGGGGGACGGCCACGCCCCUGGGCAGCACGGUGGGCCUGCAGCAGGCACAGCAGGCCUCCCCUUCUUCAGGGCAGGGGCCCAGGCCAGGUCCCACCCCACCUCUGACUUAGGACAAGCGGUUUCCUCUCCGUGUCUGUUUCCUCACCUGCAGGAGAAGGAAAUAUUACCUGGGCGCUGUGAAGUCUGAAGGAGAGAAAAGCAGAGAGCCCAGGCACAAACUGUCACCAUCACCAUCCCUCCUGCACUGGAGGAAAAGCCUUCCAAGGCAGGCCUUUCUCUCUCUCUGCUUUUAUGCAAAAAUGCAAGUGUGUCCAACUAAAUCAUGGCACCGAGGCUGUGGCUCCUGCUCUAAAGGCUUCUGGAGGCAGAGGAGUGCAGCCUGCCCAGGAGGGCCCCACCAGCACCCUGGCCUUGGCUCUCCCGGCGUCUACUCUGCUGCUGUCGCAGGUUAAGCCCCACAAGGUCCCAGCUUGGCCCAGGUGCUCAAUGUCCUCAGGAAAAGAGCCCCUAAAGCAAAGAGAAGAAAACUGCCCUCUGAAACACCUACCACCUGACAGUAACUGUCACUUUAGUCCUGAGCCCUUCUCCCUCCAGGGCCCCCACCCCUCCAGCCCUCCUAACCCUCCUGCAGGGGGCCUUGCAGCAGAAUAGCCACCCCAGGUCUCUGCUGUGAGGGUGGGAACCCACAGAGGCUGGGCCACGCUCCACGCCCAUAAGGGACUCUAAAUAUAUGAACGGAACAUUCUCACUGCUGUAGAAAUGCAUUUUGAAACUUUAUCAGUACGUACUGAUUUGGGGCAGAGACCAACUGCAUUUCGUUCAAAGUAAAGACGAAAUCCAUUUAAGUGACACUUCUUGCUAGCUGCCCAGGGGCUCCAGGUGAGUCACCAUCACCUGUGUUCACACCUGCUGCCCACAGUGGACACACAAAGCCCUCGGACAGCUCGAGGCCAAGAAAAGGGGCUUUGCAAGCGAAGAAUGAAGAGCAGAACUGAGGGACCGAUGCAGAUGUGCUGUCACCAGGAGCAACCACAUUGCUGCUGAGGGCAGGCAUGGUCUAAACAGCCACUGUCCUGUUACAGAGGCAAAGCCUUGAUGGAGAAGGGACAGGCCUCGUCCAGGCUCAGGCCCCAGGCCGGAAAGGUGCACUUUCUUUUCCAUGGCUCUUCUCCCCUUCUCAAAACCAACUCGUGUAUAUUUUUAAGUUUUUUUUUUUUUCAAACUGAUCAAUAAAUACAUUUUCUAAAGAAACA